RNAcentral lists this unclassified non-coding RNA (203 nucleotides) under plant metagenome. Its description in RNAcentral is "partial contains small subunit ribosomal RNA and internal transcribed spacer 1". The stretch from base 1 to 46 matches the Rfam family "Eukaryotic small subunit ribosomal RNA", at positions 1786 to 1831 of the family's 1831-position model. The record is from RNAcentral.
AAGUCGUAACAAGGUCUCCGUAGGUGAACCUGCGGAGGGAUCAUUAAUGAGAACUUGCCCUAACGGGUAGAUCUCCCACCCUUGUACAACAUGUGCUUGUCUGGCCGCACCCUCGGGUCCGCCGGCCUUCGGGCUGGUCAGCGCCGGACAGGGGAAACUAAAACCUUUAUCACUGUCGUCAGAGUACUAUAUAAUAGUUAAAA